RNAcentral lists this ribosomal RNA (481 nucleotides) under Porcellanella triloba. RNAcentral describes it as "partial 16S ribosomal RNA". It matches the Rfam family "Bacterial large subunit ribosomal RNA", at positions 1925 to 2609 of the family's 2925-position model. Lineage: Eukaryota; Metazoa; Arthropoda; Malacostraca; Decapoda; Porcellanidae. The record is from RNAcentral.
AAAUGGCCGCGGUAAAUUAACUGUGCAAAGGUAGCAUAAUCAUUAGUUUUUUAAUAGGAGGCUUGUAUGAAUGAAUGGACAAGAAUUAAACUGUCUUUAUUGUAAGAAAUUUAAUUUUACUUUUAAGUGAAAAGGCUUAAAUAUUUUUAAGGGACGAUAAGACCCUAUAAAUCUUUAUAAGGGUUGGUUUAAUUGAAUGGUUAAAAGUUAAAUUUUUGGUUAAAUGAAUUUUUAUUGUACUGGGGCGGUAGAGAUAUAAAAGAUAAACUGUUUUUAUAUUAUUACAAAUUUAUUUGUUUAGUAGUAGAUCUAUAAUAAUAAUGAAGAGUUUAAGUUACUUUAGGGAUAACAGCAUAAUUUCUUUUGAGAGUUCUAAUCGAAAAAGAGUUUUGUGACCUCGAUGUUGAAUUAAAAUUUCUGUGUGGUGUAGUAGUUACAAGGGAGUAGUCUGUUCGACUAGUAAAUUUUUACGUGAUCUGAG